Molecule: transfer RNA, 36 nt
Filed under: Asio otus (long-eared owl)
Lineage: Eukaryota; Metazoa; Chordata; Aves; Strigiformes; Strigidae
Description: partial tRNA-Phe
Source: RNAcentral
GACGCCAAGACGGUCACCACAGAACACCCAAGGACA